AGGGCUUAGCUCACCUGUGAACAGAGUUAGCGUUGCAUCAUGUUCACAGUGGCUAAGUUCCGC
This 63-nucleotide microRNA precursor is filed under the name Alligator mississippiensis (American alligator). RNAcentral's name for it is "Ami-Mir-27-P3_pre stem-loop". It matches the Rfam family "mir-27 microRNA precursor family", at positions 10 to 80 of the family's 80-position model. Lineage: Eukaryota; Metazoa; Chordata; Crocodylia; Alligatoridae. The record is from RNAcentral.